This 468-nucleotide ribosomal RNA is filed under the name uncultured bacterium. RNAcentral describes it as "bacterial SSU rRNA". It matches the Rfam family "Bacterial small subunit ribosomal RNA", at positions 28 to 507 of the family's 1533-position model. The record is from RNAcentral.
GACGAACGCUGGCGGCGCGCCUAACACAUGCAAGUCGAACGGAGCAAAGAGGAGCUUGCUUUUCUUUGCUUAGUGGCGAACGGGUGAGUAACGCGUGAGUAACCUGCCCUGGAGUGGGGGACAACAGUUGGAAACGACUGCUAAUACCGCAUAAGCCCACGGAGCCGCAUGGCUCUGAGGGAAAAGGAUUUAUUCGCUUCAGGAUGGACUCGCGUCCAAUUAGCUAGUUGGUGAGGUAACGGCCCACCAAGGCGACGAUUGGUAGCCGGACUGAGAGGUUGAACGGCCACAUUGGGACUGAGACACAGCCCAGACUCCUACGGGAGGCAGCAGUGGGGAAUAUUGCACAAUGGGGGAAACCCUGAUGCAGCGACGCCGCGUGGAGGAAGAAGGUCUUCGGAUUGUAAACUCCUGUUGUUGAGGAAGAUAAUGACGGUACUCAACAAGGAAGUGACGGCUAACUACGUG